GGAGGAGGAGGAGGAGGAGGAAGAGAAGGAGGAGAUGAUGAAAAGGAGCAGGCAAAUAAGUUGGGAAAAUUAAAGCUUAAAGCUGACUUUUCCACCUGGAGCCUGUGGGACCUCAAAUAUCACCUCCACCUGGUCUUGAUUUCUCUGACCCCGUUGGAUGAUCUUCCAGGAAUCUGCUGUUCCUUCCAAAAAUUUCCCAAAAGCAUGGGCUCCACCACAUGUGCAAGUCUCAGCAGCUGUCCAGAGUGAGAAGAAAUAAAAGUCAGUGGCCCACAGGA
Molecule: long non-coding RNA, 278 nt
Organism: Astyanax mexicanus (Mexican tetra)
Lineage: Eukaryota; Metazoa; Chordata; Actinopteri; Characiformes; Acestrorhamphidae
Exons: 2
Source: RefSeq, a predicted model, not a curated record